UCAAACUUGGUCAUUUAGAGGAAGUAAAAGUCGUAACAAGGUUUCCGUAGGUGAACCUGCGGAAGGAUCAUUACUGAAUUCAAUGCUGAGAUUGUCGCUGGCUCCUACAUGGGCAUGUGCACAUCUCAGUUAUCCAAAUUCUUACACCUCUGUGCACCUUUCAUGGGAUGAGUGCUUGGCUGAUUGGUGUUCGCACUGACAGCUGUUCAUUCUGUCUCAUGUUUUUACAUCUACACAUUUUAGUUCUAGAAUGUUAUACUGCGUUGAACGCAUUAUAUACAACUUUCAGCAACGGAUCUCUUGGCUCUCGCAUCGAUGAAGAACGCAGC
This 329-nucleotide unclassified non-coding RNA is filed under the name uncultured fungus. RNAcentral describes it as "partial contains small subunit ribosomal RNA, internal transcribed spacer 1, and 5.8S ribosomal RNA". The stretch from base 1 to 73 matches the Rfam family "Eukaryotic small subunit ribosomal RNA", at positions 1759 to 1831 of the family's 1831-position model. The record is from RNAcentral. Lineage: Eukaryota; Fungi.